This 1046-nucleotide long non-coding RNA is filed under the name Homo sapiens (human). Its description in RNAcentral is "HSALNT0295423". The record is from RNAcentral. Lineage: Eukaryota; Metazoa; Chordata; Mammalia; Primates; Hominidae.
GGAGCACCCAGCCAGCUGCUGCAACCCGCUGCCCUCUGGUGUCCUGCUGUGGGAGCUUUGUUCUUUCACUCUCGUAAUAAGUCUUGCUGCUGCUCACUCUUUGGGUCCGCACUGUCUCUGUGAGCUGUAACACUCACCGCGAGGUUCUGUGCCUUCGUUCUUUAAGUCAGGGAGACCACGAACCCACCGGGAGGAACAAACAACUGUGAUGCGCCAUCUUUAAGAGCUGUAACAUUCACCGCCGGGGUCUGCGGCUUCAUUCCUGGAGUGAGUGAGACCACGAACCCACCAGAAGGAAGAAACUCUGGACCCAUCUGAACAGCUGAAGGAACAAACUCCGGACACACCAUCUUUAAGAACUGUAACACUCACCGGGAGUCUCCGUGGCUUCAUUCUUGAAGACAGCGAGACCAAGAACCCACCAGAAGGAAUGAAUUCCGCACACAGCAACAGCACAAAGUUAAACCAGGAAGUCCCUCUGCCUUGCUAGGGAUCCAGGUUUGCCUUCCUGUUGAGGUAUCCCAUUUCAUUACAGUUGACCUAAGUUUGAACAAACACUGCCACCUGAUGCAUGAAAGCUCUACUGUGACCUACGUUAAAAGGAGCUGACACUCCCUCAGGCUACCUUAGUCAGUGGGGGCUUACUGCAGCAUACCUGUGGCGAUGAGAGAGAGAGGCACAUCACAGGAGCAUCUGGCACCAGUGGCAUCCUGAAUUUAAGAUGAAACAAUAGAGAAAGAACCAAGAAGUUACAUACAUUCAUCAGAAUUGCUGGAGAGUCCUGACCUCUGGCCAUCGAUCAAAGGGAAGCGUUCACUACUGAAGGUUUGUCUUCACUGUACUGGGUAUUCAACUUCCUUGAAAUUAAAAGGAAGAAGGAUAAAAAGUGGUAUGCUGAAUGGAUUAAAGCUCUCUUAAAGGAGAAAGGAUGCAAAACAAAACAAAUUACUCAGAAAAAGAUGAUGGAAACUACAUCACCAUAAAAAGUUGAAAGAGGUUGGACGCAGUGGCUCACACCUGUAAUCCCAGCACUUUGGGAGGCCGAG